AUGAUGGACUAUAGGACAGGACUGCUGCUUCUAACUGUCUGCUGGGCAGGUGUUGAUGGUCAGACUCUGACAGAAUCUGAACCAGCAGUUAAAAGUCCUGGAGGAUCUCACAGAUUGACCUGUGCAACCUCUGGAUUCACAUUCACCAGCUACCCUAUGAACUGGGUCAGACAGGCUCCUGGUAAAGGACUGGAGUGGAUUGCUUUCAUCCACACAGGCAGUUCUUCUAUCUACUACUCCCAGUCAGUCCAGGGUAGAUUCACCAUCUCCAGAGAUGACUCCAGCAGUAAACUCUAUCUGCAGAUGAACAGUCUGAAGACUGAGGACACAGCAGUGUAUUACUGUGCCAGACACACAGUAAGAGACAAUAACAGCAGCGUCAAACAAAAACUACUUCCUCUUUUUACUACCAACACGAAAAACAUUCACUUCUCUCAGUAUUAUUUGUUCUGA
Centropristis striata (black sea bass) is the source of this 453-nucleotide non-coding RNA. The record is from the annotation of a RefSeq genome assembly. NCBI's taxonomy places the organism in Eukaryota, Metazoa, Chordata, Actinopteri, Perciformes, Serranidae.